This 173-nucleotide long non-coding RNA is filed under the name Chinchilla lanigera (long-tailed chinchilla). RNAcentral describes it as "lncRNA (ENSCLAG00000023705.1)". Lineage: Eukaryota; Metazoa; Chordata; Mammalia; Rodentia; Chinchillidae. The record is from RNAcentral.
GAGUUCAUCAUUCAAGUUAUUACUAAAUCCUGUACAUAGGUUCUUUUGUUUAUUUUUGGCAGAUAGCUGAGAAGAUAUGAAUGGUGAGAGGUGAUAUGAGCAUUUUCUGGAUUGCAAGUCAAUGUAGGCAGUUUUUCAGUUACAGUUUCAAAAGAACAAAAAGAAAGAAAUAA